UACGUAGGCAGCAAGCGUUGUUCGGAAUUACUGGGCGUAAAGAGUGUGUAGGCGGUGCUCUAAGUUCGGUGUGAAAUCUCCCGGCUCAACUGGGAGGGUGCGCCGGAAACUGGAAUGCUUGAGCGUGGGAGAGGAAAGCGGAAUUCCUGGUGUAGCGGUGAAAUGCGUAGAUAUCAGGAGGAACACCUGCGGUGUAGACGGCUUCUGGACCAUGCUGACGCUGAGACACGAAAGCGUGGGUAGCAAACAGG
RNAcentral lists this ribosomal RNA (251 nucleotides) under uncultured bacterium. RNAcentral describes it as "partial 16S ribosomal RNA". It matches the Rfam family "Bacterial small subunit ribosomal RNA", at positions 524 to 776 of the family's 1533-position model. The record is from RNAcentral.